CUACGGGCCGCUGCAGUGAGGAAUAUUGCACAAUGGGGGGAACCCUGAUGCAGCAACGCCGCGUGAGUGAUGAGGGCUUUCGGGUCGUAAAGCUCUGUCAAGUGGGAAGAACCUAUGCAGUGUUAAUAUCACUGUAUACUGACGGUACCACUGAAGGAAGCACCGGCUAACUCCGUGCCAGCAGCCGCGGUAAUACGGGGGGUGCAAGCGUUAUUCGGAAUCAUUGGGCGUAAAGGGCACGUAGGCGGCUUGGUAAGUCAGAUGUGAAAGCCCGGGGCUUAACCCCGGAAGUGCAUUUGAUACUGUCAGACUUGAGUAUGGGAGAGGGAAGUGGAAUUCCUGGUGUAGAGGUGAAAUUCGUAGAUAUCAGGAGGAACACCGGUGGCGAAGGCGACUUCCUGGACCAAUACUGACGCUGAGGUGCGAAGGCGUGGGUAGCAAACAGGAUUAGAUACCCCCGUAGUC
RNAcentral lists this ribosomal RNA (465 nucleotides) under uncultured bacterium. Its description in RNAcentral is "partial 16S ribosomal RNA". It matches the Rfam family "Bacterial small subunit ribosomal RNA", at positions 339 to 795 of the family's 1533-position model. The record is from RNAcentral.